This 234-nucleotide ribosomal RNA is filed under the name uncultured bacterium. RNAcentral's name for it is "partial 16S ribosomal RNA". It matches the Rfam family "Bacterial small subunit ribosomal RNA", at positions 524 to 754 of the family's 1533-position model. The record is from RNAcentral.
UACGGAGGGAGCUAGCGUUGUUCGGAAUUACUGGGCGUAAAGCGCGCGUAGGCGGCUUUGUAAGUUAGAGGUGAAAGCCCGGGAGCUCAACUCCGGAACUGCCUUUAAAACUGCAUCGCUUGAAUCCAGGAGAGGUGAGUGGAAUUCCGAGUGUAGAGGUGAAAUUCGUGAGAUAUUCGGAAGAACACCAGUGACGAAGGCGGCUCACUGGACUGGUAUUGACGCUGGAGGUGA